This 548-nucleotide ribosomal RNA is filed under the name Platymantis montanus. RNAcentral describes it as "partial 16S ribosomal RNA". It matches the Rfam family "Bacterial large subunit ribosomal RNA", at positions 1817 to 2597 of the family's 2925-position model. Lineage: Eukaryota; Metazoa; Chordata; Amphibia; Anura; Ceratobatrachidae. The record is from RNAcentral.
CGCCUCUUGUUAAGUUAUAAGAGGUCCAGCCUGCCCAAUGACUUCUUAAAUGGCCGCGGUAUCCUAACCGUGCUAAGGUAGCACAAUAACUUGUUCUUUAAAUGGGGACUUGUAUGAAUGGCAUCACGAGGAUUUCACUGUCUCCUCCCCCCAAUCAGUGAAACUGACCCCCCUGUGAAAAGGCAGGGAUUAUACUAUAAGACGAGAAGACCCCAUGGAGCUUCAGACUCAGGGCACAUCUAACUCCCACUUCACUUAAAACCUUAAAUCACUGACCUUUAGUCUUGGGUUGGGGCGACCAUGGAGUAAAACUAAACCUCCAUGCUGAAUGGAUAAAUCCUAAUCUAGGAGUUACAACUCUCAGAAUCAAAAAACUGACAACCACUGAUCCGAAAUUCGAUCAACGAACCAAGUUACCCUGGGGAUAACAGCGCUAUCUACCUUGAGAGUUCAUAUCGACAGGUGGGUUUACGACCUCGAUGUUGGAUCAGGGUAUCCCUGUGGUGCAGCCGCUACAUAAGGUUCGUUUGUUCAACGAUUAAAACCCC